The sequence is a ribosomal RNA, 526 nucleotides long. The stretch from base 392 to 526 matches the Rfam family "Archaeal large subunit ribosomal RNA", at positions 2542 to 2676 of the family's 2987-position model.
AACAUGUCUUUUUGAAAAUAAUAAAAAGUNUAAUCUGCCCACUGAAUUUAUUUAAAGGGCUGCAGUAUAUUGACUGUACAAAGGUAGCAUAAUCAAUAGUCUUUUAAUUGAAGACUUGUAUGAAUGAUUUGAUGAAAUAUGAACUGUCUCUUUUUUAAAAAUAAAAUUUAAUUUUUUAGUUAAAAAGCUAAAAUAAUUAUAAAAGACGAGAAGACCCUAUAGAGUUUUAUAGUUAUUUAAUUUAAAAAUUUUAUAUAUAAUUUAAAUUUAAAAUUAAUUAAUUAUUUUAUUGGGGUGAUAGAAAAAUUAAAAAAACUUUUUUUUAAAAUUUAACAUUAAUUUAUGAAAUUAUGAUCCAUAAUUUAUGAUUAAAAGAAUCAAUUACCUUAGGGAUAACAGCGUAAUUUUUUUUUUUAGUACAAAUAAGAAAAAGAGUUUGCGACCUCGAUGUUGGAUUAAGAUAAAAUUUAAAUGCAAAAGUUUAAAAUUUUUGAUCUGUUCGAUCAUUAAAAUCUUACAUGAUCUG